AUGGCGACGGAGGCCAAGGAGGAGAUGGUGUUCUUCGACGUGGAGACGGCGGCGGCGCCGUCCCCCACCGACGCGUCCACCCAGUGGUGGCUGCUGGAGUUCGGGGCCAUCCUCGUCUGCCCGCGCCGCCUCGUCGAGCUCUCCAGCUACUCCACCCUCAUCCGCCCGGGGGACCCCGCCGCCGUCUCCAGGCGCUUCUCGGGCGACCCCGCCCUCUCCGCCGCGUUCCGCGCCGCGCCGCCCUUCGCCGACGUGGCCGACGACAUCUUCGCGCUCCUCCACGGCCGCGUCUGGGCGGGCCACAACAUCCGCCGCUUCGACUGCCACCGCGUCCGCGACGCCUUCGCCGCGGCCGGCCGCGCCGCCCCGGAGCCAGUGGCCGUCGUCGACUCGCUCAGCGUGCUGGCACAGGGGUUCGGCCGCCGCGCCGGGGACCUCAAGAUGGCCACCCUGGCCGCCUACUUCGGGAUCGGGAAGCAGACGCACCGCAGCCUCGACGACGUGCGCAUGAACCUCGAGGUGCUCAAGCACUGCGCCGCCGUGCUCAUGCUCGAGUCCAACCUCCCCGCUGGCGUGCUCCCUGGUGCCGACGACGGCGCAGUCACCAGGCGCAGGGCCGCGACGUCUUCCACCACGACGGCGACCGCGACUCCUCCUCGUCCUCCUCCUGCCCCCGCGGUUCUGAAGGUGAACGGCAGGUCGUCGUGCAAGAGGGACAGCACGGGGAAGGUGGUGACGGCGGCGAAGGGGGCGGCGACGGCGACCUCUACCGGUGGCCGGAGAGUGCGACGGCCCAUGACGACGACGCCGUUCAGCAUGGUCCUCCGGCACUCGAGGGCCAUCGUCAGAUGA
RNAcentral lists this ribosomal RNA (852 nucleotides) under Triticum aestivum (bread wheat). RNAcentral describes it as "partial small subunit ribosomal RNA". The record is from RNAcentral. Lineage: Eukaryota; Viridiplantae; Streptophyta; Magnoliopsida; Poales; Poaceae.